UGGGGAAUUUUGGACAAUGGGCGAAAGCCUGAUCCAGCAAUGCCGCGUGUGUGAAGAAGGCCUUCGGGUUGUAAAGCACUUUUGUCCGGAAAGAAAUCCUUGGCUCUAAUACAGUCGGGGGAUGACGGUACCGGAAGAAUAAGCACCGGCUAACUACGUGCCAGCAGCCACGGAAUACGUAGGGUGCAAGCGUUAAUCGGAAUUACUGGGCGUAAAGCGUGCGCAGGCGGUUUGCUAAGACCGAUGUGAAAUCCCCGGGCUCAACCUGGGAACUGCAUUGGUGACUGGCAGGCUAGAGUAUGGCAGAGGGGGGUAGAAUUCCACGUGUAGCAGUGAAAUGCGUAGAGAUGUGGAGGAAUACCGAUGGCGAAGGCAGCCCCCUGGGCCAAAUACUGACGCUCAUGCACGAAAAGCGUGGGGAGCAAACAGGAUUAGAUACCCUGGUAGUCCACGCCCUAAAACGAUGUCAACUAGUUGUUGGGGAUUCAUUUCCUUAGUAACGUAGCUAACGCGUGAAGUUGACCGCCUGGGGAGUACGGUCGCAAGAUUAAAAACUCAAAGGAAUUGACGGGGUCAUAGCUGUUUCCU
RNAcentral lists this ribosomal RNA (588 nucleotides) under uncultured bacterium. RNAcentral's name for it is "partial 16S ribosomal RNA". It matches the Rfam family "Bacterial small subunit ribosomal RNA", at positions 355 to 1375 of the family's 1533-position model. The record is from RNAcentral.